This 496-nucleotide long non-coding RNA is filed under the name Homo sapiens (human). RNAcentral's name for it is "HSALNT0280959". The record is from RNAcentral. Lineage: Eukaryota; Metazoa; Chordata; Mammalia; Primates; Hominidae.
AGGGAUCCCAUUGGCAUCUAUGACUGCUUCAGAGGCACAGUCUGCUACCAAUACUUCUUCUGAAACUACGUCGGUAGUCAGAGGAUCAGUGACAAUUUCUGCUUCCACUACACUAUCAUGAACCGUCAGACACAUGUAUAGAAUCACCCGUCAAGACGUGUUCUGGCAUAGACAUUGAGGCUGAAGUAAUGUCAGAAGCUAAAACAUCAUCUGGGACUGUGCAAUGUGCUAAAGAAACUUCUUCAGUUACAUCUGAGUCCAGCACUUGCUCAGGAAUGAUGACCGUUUCAGACACAUCUGCUUCUUCCAUGAUAUCUGGGCACUGAACAUCUUCUAUAACAACGUCCUCAAUAACAUCUUGGAUUACAACUGAAUCUGGGUCAUCAGGAACAAAGUUAUGCACAGUUAUGUCUGAAUCCACAACAUCUGAAACAAAAACAGUUUCUUGUACUUCCACAACAAUUUGAUCACCAUCCAUGUGUGUACCAUCAGCUCC